UCAACGCUUAGUUCGACCCAGACAUCAUGACUCAACAUUUGUUUAGAAUAUUCCUCCCUGCAACUCUCCUAGGCCUGUGUCUGCUUAAUCAGAGUAUACAUACAGAUGGUCAAAAUACAACUUCAGGUGUUACCACAAGUGAUGUUACCAGUGUUUCUACUGAAACCACAUCAUCUGUGUCUCAAACCUCGAAUGUGACACCUGGGAGCAGUGAUACUGAAGUCUCUACAGUUACUCAAACUACAGGAGCAAC
Long non-coding RNA from Clarias gariepinus (North African catfish), 253 nucleotides. RefSeq lists it as uncharacterized. The transcript has 3 exons. The record is from RefSeq and is a predicted model, not a curated record. Lineage: Eukaryota; Metazoa; Chordata; Actinopteri; Siluriformes; Clariidae.